GGGGAACACUUGGGAUCGUGCGGGUGAAAGGGGAGCGAGCAGGGGGGAGGGAGAGUUUAAGCAGACGCGGACCCGCGUUGGCUGCAGCGCGGCGGUAGAAACAGCACCAGCGGUGGGUGGCGCUCGAUGUUGCUCUUCUGGUCCUCUACCCGUGGUAGCAGGAGCUGUGGCCUCAUCCUGCUUGACCUGGCGCCUCGGGGGUUCGGCAGCGGGAGCUGGUUGAAGGGGCUCAGGCCGGUGGCGAUCGGCAAGGUUCCGAAGGUCCUCCUGGCGGCCCGAGUAGCGGCAGCGGAUGUCGUGGUCUAGCCGUAGCCCCUCGGGGACGUCGCGGUGGUAGCAGAACAAGGGGAGGCGGAGCCGGUGGCAGCUAGGGGCCGCUUGUGGUGACGGGGCCAGGAGGGGCGCAGGUGCGCUCGAACGGCAGCAGAGGGGGCUAUGGGGGCUCCGGCUACUACGGGGCCACUAGCUGAUGCAGCUGCUGUGAAGAAGGAAAAGUCGCCUCGAAGGUCUACAGCCUCGGGUCCUCGGUCUACGGUGGCGGCUACGUAUGAUGAUGCACCUCUGGCAGCUGCUGGUCCUCAUCAAUCCUCCGAGGGUCCGUCCUCCGGAACGGAAAAGCUAGCAACAACGAAAACACGAUCGGAAGAAUUCCGUUUGAACAGAUUGAGUACAGAUACGAGUCUAUAACAACGAAGGCGACUGAGAACACAUAAGUUCGACUACAUAAGCUCGGGAACUCCGGGGACCGAACAUUAUAUUUCGAACAUAAUAAAAUUAAACACAGAUCUCAACAGGAACUAGAACUAGCAUG
Molecule: ribosomal RNA, 811 nt
Filed under: Triticum aestivum (bread wheat)
Lineage: Eukaryota; Viridiplantae; Streptophyta; Magnoliopsida; Poales; Poaceae
Description: partial small subunit ribosomal RNA
Source: RNAcentral